CCUACGGGUGGCAGCAGUCGAGAAUCAUUCACAAUGGGCGAAACCCUGAUCGUGCGACGCCGCGUGGGGGAUUGCAGGUCUUCGGAUUGUAAACCUCUGUCAUGUGGGAGCAAAUUAAAAAGCUAGUACCCCAAGAGGAAGAGCCGGCGAACUCUGUGUCAGCAGCCGCGGUAAUACGGAGGUCUCAAGCGUUGUUCGGAAUGACUGGGCGUAAAGCGUGCGUAGGCUGUUUCGUAAGUCGUGUGUGAAAGGCGCGGGCUCAACCCGCAGAUGGCACAUGAUACUGGGAGACUAGAGUAAAGUAGGGGUAAGCGGAAUUCGCGGUGUAGCAGUGAAAUGCGUAGAUAUCGAGAAGAACACU
This 361-nucleotide ribosomal RNA is filed under the name uncultured bacterium. RNAcentral's name for it is "partial 16S ribosomal RNA". It matches the Rfam family "Bacterial small subunit ribosomal RNA", at positions 338 to 710 of the family's 1533-position model. The record is from RNAcentral.